GCGGGGGUUUCAGAAGCGGCCGGUCUGUGAAGCGGCAGGGGCACGGAAGCGGGCUUGAUACGCUAUUGUUGACAUUGCUGACAACGAAUCCGCUCCAGCGCCGAGUGGUCGUCUGCACAGUGUAGGCCACCUCACAGCUUCACCAUCAAGCUUUUGUUCUUCAAAUAAUUCAUACCAGCCCAGUUUCGUAUGUGUUGGGGAACAGCUGCUAGUUUGCAGGUUGCACUAGAGGUUGCGGUGUUCGGGCUGUGGUCAAGUUUUUGAGUCGAACUUCUUGUGUUUUCAGUUUUGCAAUCUCAAAAUGAAUAUGUUAAAGCAUUGACUGUUGUUUUAAUUUAAACUGUUUUGGUUUUUGUUGGUUUGAUGUUA
This 369-nucleotide long non-coding RNA is filed under the name Sinocyclocheilus grahami. RNAcentral describes it as "lncRNA (ENSSGRG00000038649.1)". The record is from RNAcentral. Lineage: Eukaryota; Metazoa; Chordata; Actinopteri; Cypriniformes; Cyprinidae.